Triticum aestivum (bread wheat) is the source of this 2018-nucleotide long non-coding RNA. RefSeq lists it as uncharacterized. The transcript has 4 exons. The record is from RefSeq and is a predicted model, not a curated record. NCBI's taxonomy places the organism in Eukaryota, Viridiplantae, Streptophyta, Magnoliopsida, Poales, Poaceae.
CUUUCCCUCGCCCUAAAACCGCUCUGAACGGACCCCCACUCCGCCCUGACUCUUUCUAUUCCGUUACCCACAAUAAACCUCGCCCUAAUGAACAUUACCACACCAGAAACGGCUGCUAUUGAUGCCUUAACAUUGAAGAUGCGCCGCUCCGCUUCGGCUCUCUGCUAUGGUAUAAAAGGGGGGCCCGAGGAACCUCUAUUCGCCCUGCAUCUCCCAGUCCAUGAACCCCUCUCCAACGCCCUUCGAUUCCCGAGCAAUUGCUCGUCGGAGUCGAGGCCGCCGUCUUCUUCCAUUGAAGCUCACGACCUCUCUACAUCAAGCCAGAGCACGACCUCCGCGAAGAACGCAACUGACCGGAGCUCCAUGCAACUCCGGCGAUAUCUCCACGACACUCGAGGAAGGAGACGAGCACCUAUCUGUGUCCCUCGCGACCGCCUCGUCGACCUCUACACUGUCCAACCGUUCAAUGACGCCGGGGGUUUUCUUCUCGAACUCCGGCAAAACUCCAGCGAACUCUCACGAUUGCGACGAGUGCGAAGGUGAAUUCUAUGAGGAGGUAGAACCUUGUGACUACGAAACCGAAGGCAAGUUGCAAAUUGAUCAUGCUUCGACCUAUAUUUUCAUACUAUGCAUAACUCUUUAAAUUUUAAUACUAUGCAUGUUUUAUAAAAGUUUUGCAAAGUAUUAUAUUUAUCUAGAGCCAUAGGUUCAAGACUCACCAUUUUCCAUGCUUGCACAAAAUGGGUGGGAUGAAAACCAAACUUGUUUUCAACUUUAAACUUGCUCUCUUUGGAGCAAAGUUUGAGAAAAUCUUUUUAAAACAAAAUUAUAUAUUGUUUUACUUCUAUUCCCUGGGUGGGAUGGUAUGACGGGAGCGUCUACAAGUGAUUGCGCCCAUCGGGGUCUUGCAGCGAAUGCGCCCGACUGGGGUCUUGCACACAGGUUUUGGUGGGGAUUACCGUCCACGGGAAUGAGAUCUUCCAAGUAUAGUUCGAUGUAGCUUCCAGUACGGCCACAUGCUACUAUGGGCUCUGGCUUAGCUUAGUACUAACGGGAAACCCUUACCUCAGGACCGCCAUCGGAGAGGAGCUUUCAUUUCCUAAGUUGCAGGCGGCUUGGUCGGGUAUAGGGGGUUGUUACGGAAAGGCUUCGUCGCAAUGUCCUCCUAGUCGUACACCCAAGUGUGUAACGAUAAACGGGGUUGGUUGUGUCAUGUGGGGAACGUGUACGACCUCUGUAGAGAGUUUAACCUAAUCGAUUAGCCGUGCCCCCGGUUAUGGGAAAAUUGAGCAACUGAAGACUUGGACUGAAGAAGAAUCUCCCCUCUCUUUUCUAAAAAUCUAUUUAAGGGUUAAAGUUGAGGAAUGAGCACAGUGAAUGUGUUUCACUUCAACCUUAUGUAUGUUUUAAACUAUUUUAGAGAAUGAGCACUAGUGUGUAUAUCCAAGUGUCUCGCUCCUACUUUUAUACUAAAAAAACUAUUUAUUUCAAAGAAGUUUUACAAAAUUUAGUAUUGUAGAAAAUUGGCUUUAUGCAAAGGAACCCUCCACCAAUAUUUACCCUGCAUAUAUAAUCUGUUAUACUCUCCUUUGCAACUUGCGAGUACAUUCCACGUACUCAUCUGCACCUGUCAUGUGCAGAUCUCGACAGAUUAAGAGACGAUAGGGUUAUGGUCUACACUCAACGAGCCCAGUGGCAUUGAUGGAGCCUAACUUAGCGACUACGUAUAAUUCCGCUGUAUUAUCUGCCAGCUUGAGCUGUGCCUAAGCUAUGAUCCAGGGAUAGCACAGUAAGCACAGAGACUUGGAUUUUACCAAAUCCGGGUCGUUACACUAAUACUCUGUAAAGCUUCUCGGUCAUUCCUUCUGUAAUGUAGUGCAAACAAUGACUGCUUCUUUCUGCAAAGUGGAACGACCAACAAGACCCUGUAAUGCAGCAGUUUGCCUUGGACACAUUGGCUCCUUUUGUGCAGCUGAACUAAAAUCGAAGUCGGAAUAAAACCAAGCUUUAAUUUUGAU